This 486-nucleotide ribosomal RNA is filed under the name uncultured bacterium. RNAcentral's name for it is "partial 16S ribosomal RNA". It matches the Rfam family "Bacterial small subunit ribosomal RNA", at positions 28 to 523 of the family's 1533-position model. The record is from RNAcentral.
GAUGAACGCUGGCGGCGUGCUUAACACAUGCAAGUCGAACGGAAAGGCCUCAGCUCGCUGGGGUACUCGAGUGGCGAACGGGUGAGUAACACGUGGGUGAUCUGCCCUGCACUUUGGGAUAAGCUUGGGAAACUGGGUCUAAUACCGAAUAUGACCACUUCUUGGAUGUUGUGGUGGAAAGCUUUUGCGGUGUGGGAUGAGCCUGCGGCCUAUCAGCUUGUUGGUGGGGUAAUGGCCUACCAAGGCGGCGACGGGUAUCCGGCCUGAGAGGGUGUACGGACACAUUGGGACUGAGAUACGGCCCAGACUCCUACGGGAGGCAGCAGUGGGGAAUAUUGCACAAUGGGCGCAAGCCUGAUGCAGCGACGCCGCGUGGGGGAUGAAGGCCUUCGGGUUGUAAACUCCUUUCGCUAUCGACGAAGCCACUUGUGGUGACGGUAGGUAGAUAAUAAGCACCGGCUAACUCCGUGCCAGCCGCCGCCGUAA